Molecule: long non-coding RNA, 535 nt
Filed under: Homo sapiens (human)
Lineage: Eukaryota; Metazoa; Chordata; Mammalia; Primates; Hominidae
Description: HSALNT0110928
Source: RNAcentral
AUUAUUCCAGAAAGAAAGAUUAUUAAUCAGGUCAGCACCAGUCCUCCCAUUUAAUCAGUGGAGAAACUGGGGUGAGCAUUUGCCAGUUCUAGCUGCAUUCUAAGUGUUCCAGGUUCUACUGUCAACCCAGGCUCAGGCUGUCCCACAUCCUCCCACAGAGGUCUUGCUUUGUUUUGAGAAAUGCUCAACAGAAGGAGGAAGUCCAGCAUAUCCACGGUGCAACUGAAAUGCCACCCUAGGAAGACUAAGGCCUCAUGGUGGGUGACAGCUGAGGUGACAGCUGAAGAUGAGGCUGGCUGAGGGAGGACAAUCCCACCAAAGUAUAGCGGACACCAGCAGUCUCUCUAGGCUCCCAACAGUCCUAAGGCUGAAGAGACUGUGAACAGGUCUGCACAAAGCCUACAAGCAAAGAAAGUCAUAAGCCUUAGGUUUCCCUGCAAUGACUUUCUGCAGUAGGUGGAGGAAGGGAAGAAAAAACCUAUCUCCAUGGAAAAACCACCUUAUAAGUCUUUCUAUAAAUUGCAGUAGAACAAAG